UAAGGCCUUCUGCAGUCCACUAUCUGCUGAAAGAGAAGAAAAAUAUAGAUUUGAACAACUAUCAAUAUGUUUACAUGCAUUUAUGUAACCAGGUUACACGGAGAAACCAUGUUACGUGUGUAAUUGGGGUGUAACACUGCCACAAGUGUGAGGGGAAGAGUAAUAUAUAGAUAUCUAAAUUGUAUGGCUUAAUACAAUUUAGCCUGUUCUACAUCCGGCGAGUUUGAUUCUUUUGGACCCUUUUUCUUCUUUUUUGCAAUGCAUUGCUGUUCCUGAUUCUAUUCUUUUUCUGCAUUUUGAAGGGAGGACAUAUACAUCCAUUUUUGGUUUUUUGGGACAUUUCACUUGGACUAUGUGAGCAGUAUAAGGAGGUUUUUCUUUGAGUUGGACUAACAUUGGACAUUCAAAUGGAUGUUUAAUAUGUGAAUUUAUUCCGUUUUCUUGAUAAAUUGUUGUGUUUGCAUACAUUUAAGUUUCCAAUUAGUACAUUUGUUUGUCAGCGUCAAGAGAGCUUUAAAGACAUCCAAAACCAAAUAUCCUCAUUUAACCUGAUUGUAUAAAAGGCUUGGACAUUUAUGGGUGCUUAUCACUUUAAUACUCACAUUAUCAGGCCGUAAGAGAUGACGUAUAUUUACUGCGCUAGCAUUUGCCAUUGUGUGUGGGUGAAAGGAGCGAGUGCUAAUGCGAAGGUGUAUCAUGUUGUGGUUAAGUAACCUGUAACGACCCAUAAGUCUUUUUUUGAGCAUCCUUAUUUUGCCUGUGUGGUCCAGUGGUAUUCCCAGUAUUGAGUCAAUGACGAGAAACUGAUGACAAUACUAGUGUUGAACUGCCGAUAAACACGGCUGGACCACAGCACAGUUCAGAGAAGCAAUUACGUCUCUUCAUCCUCAUUCCUGUAUCCUGACCGAUACACCAUCCUGUUUACUGUCAAACCCUAAACGAGCUAGCCCUGCCUAAUAAGCUCUCUAACACUGAUCUUAGUAAAUAGAUCACAGGAGCUCUCUAAUUGUAAUUGUAACUAAGUUUAAAACUUAAGCUGAUUGCUACAGGGGUAACGUGUUAACAUGCACAGUACUGGUUACUGUAAAUUUAUGUGUACAAGCAACCAAUCAGUGAUCAGAUUUCUCCUCUACACUGACCUUAUUCUCAAAACAUGCCUUUCUUAUUUUAUCAGUAUUAGUGAUAGAAGACAUUUGUUAGUCCUUUGUUCUGUUUGGCUCUGUGUGUCUGAGUCAAAACUUUUCCUCACAGCAUGAAUGUGUCUGAAUUCAACAGUAAAAUGUUACGUGGUGGAAACUGACUCAUUUAGACUUCUAGAGGACACUUUGUAUUUGUUUAAGUUUUAGUUGGACUUUAAAUACAAGGAUAAAUCACUCUGUAAUGAUUUCUCCUUUCAUUCAGCUGCUUCACUUUCCCUAUCUACAGCGUUUUAUUAAGUACAUGUUAUAUAUUUACAUGGCAGAGAAAUUGACAUUCUCCAGGAGAAAUCUACCUGUUGAAAAAUUUUAAAUAAUAAUGCAAUAGAUUUAAUUUGUACUGCACUUUUCCUUCUGAUCCACAACUCCAAUUACAGUAACCAAUAACAGUUAUUUUGUAGGACCACCCGUCAGAAUUACGUCACUGCCCACCUGACAAGAGUUCAUUCAUGUUUUCCACAGUUGUAUCCACAAUCUUUCAAUAAUCCAAUGACAACCCCCAAAAUACCCGCACAGUGUGAAACCAGCCUCCAGGAAGUCCUGUAUGUUUCAGAGCCGCUAACGUCUGUUGGUCAGUGGAGGAGAUAUUACCAGAUUUAACAUCUGCUGUCUGGAUGUGAUGUCAUGUUUGUAUCUUCCUGUGACCUUCUGCUCCUGAGCCGAUGUUUGACAACUCCCUCACCAGAUCAUUCCUGGUAACUGACAGAACAACUUUGUGUGGAAAAGGAAAACCAGGAUCCAGGGCCGGACUGGCAAAAUCAUUCAGGUCGGGAAAUAUAGCACGAAAUAUAGACCCCGUCAGGCCACUUUCUAAGCGGGGAGUCUGAGGGUCCCCAACUAGGAACAUUUUAGUUACAAAUACUUGAUUUCCUGAAUUCUGGUGAUUUUUAGUGCAUGUGAAUAACAAACUAAUGAGCCAACAUCUGCUUAGUAUAAUGUACUGUUAUGAACCUCAAAUAAAACCAAAAGUGCACAUCAAUAAGGAGGGAGACAACACAUGGACUAACUUUCGACCAAUAGUUAUUAAAUAAUAAAUAACUAAAUAAAUGACUAAUAUACUAACAAAAUAGAAAAUGUCUUGUACCUGCAGGUUGCUCUGAAGUAGUGGGCUUCUGUACUGCUGUGGCAUCAGUGCUACUCUCUCCACCUUCAAAAAGAAAAAAGCGAAAGCACAACACACCAGAUCUUUUAAUGUACCGAUAUAAUACAGUUAACAACUCUCUCCAUCUAUUCAAAGAACAGAGCAAGAGCACAAUACCCUCCUCAGUUUACCGAUAUACACUAACAGUUACCCAUCGAAGAUUAAAAUAGCCCUUUAACCAACACAAACAUUAAAUAACACAGAUCUUUGACUUUCAACAAAUUACAGUAGCUUGAAUAGUGACAGAAGACGUUGUGUUGUCUCAAUAAUUUUCAAUUAUGAGCUCAAAGUAUGAACUCACUGACUGAGAUUUUCACCAAAAUGCAUUAAUUUUCAAAUAUUCACCACAUUAACUAGACUAGAUAUGCCAAUUGUGCCAUCAAUGUAUUUGAGGAAGUUAAGGGAACAAACACGUUUAUUAUUGAUUAUCCAGUUUCUUGGCAGCUUUAACAUUGUCAGGAGACGAUGAUGACGCAUCGCUAACAUUAGCUAUGUUAGCUAGGUAGCUAACGUUAGCUAGCUAGCUCGGCCACCGGGAAGAGUCCCGCUGCCAGUCCGGGCCUGCCAUGACCAUCUUCUGGAGCAGGCCCUGAGAGGGACCUGGAGGCCACACCAGCACCGAUAUGACCCAGUCAAACUUUACCCAAAAAAGCAACAUGGGGUUGCUGCCAUGCUGGCUCACUGGGGUUUGUUGCAUUGCCAGUCAGAUGGUGGAUGAACGUAAAGGUCUUGGUGUUCAGAACCCAGACCACCUUCAUAUUCACUUGAAUGAGAAAGUGUGUCCAAACUUUUGACUGGUACUGCAGGUCUGCUGGUCUCAUUGAACCAUGACGUUUGCAAGUACUGGACAUAUUACAUAGUAAUGUUUUUUUAAGUGAUGUACUUAUUUUGAGGAUCUCAGAAUUCGAAUAAUGUAUUGAUUUUUAGUUUUUAUCCUGAGAACUUUUGAUCACAGUAUGUUGAAUUAUUUGGUGCUGUACAGCAGCAGCUGUGUGUGUCCAAGGCAAAUUUCCCGCUGAGACAAUAAAGACUUAUCUUAUCUUAUUUGUAGCCAAGUAUGAAGUGGUUGAGAUAAGUUCUAGAGGCUGUAAAAAGUUCUUUAUCUCAUUAUCUCUUCUGGGUCCCCAGCGAGAAAGUUCAAGUAUCUUGGGCUCUUGCUUCCCAGUAUGGGUAAGAUGGAGAGUGAGACUAACAGAUGACUGGUUGCAGCAGCAACAAGGAUGCGGCAGAGUUUCCCAGAGGUCCUCUUUAAGUUUCUCCAUUAUGGCCUCCUGCUGAAAAUAAGAGACAUUUUAAAUAGGAAGGACAUGUAUUCAGUUCUCAUCUCAUGACACUUUACCAGUAUGACUUUUGUACAUGUGCAUGUUAAAUGUAAAUCAUCUACUGUUUGAACAAACA
Thunnus maccoyii (southern bluefin tuna) is the source of this 3735-nucleotide long non-coding RNA. RefSeq lists it as uncharacterized. The transcript has 4 exons. The record is from RefSeq and is a predicted model, not a curated record. NCBI's taxonomy places the organism in Eukaryota, Metazoa, Chordata, Actinopteri, Scombriformes, Scombridae.